CCCCCCCCCCCCCCCCCCCUUUCUUUCUGAUGAGCUUAGAAUAGCAUUAAAAUCACCUAGGAGAAUCUACGAAUUUAUCAUAGUACUAUUAAUAUCCUCGAGCUCCUUCCAUAAUGACAUUCUUUUCAACGGCUGAGGGCUAGCAUGUAUUGCAGUAGCUUCCAUUAAUGGCUUUCCAAACUUGGAUAUACCAAAAUGAAUGAAUUGAGAGUUGUUGAUUAGAAUUUGAAUAUCCCAUUCCUCAUCCCACAAUAGCCAAGUUAAAGCUGCAAAACUUGAAGCUUCGACUCUAUGAGAGCGAUUAAAUCCAAUUUUCUGAAUGUGGAAUCUGCCAUUCCUCCACUAGUUCUAGGCUUCAAUAGAAUCAGAAAUAUGGCUUAUGAGUAGAAAUAAAAGUUUGAGAGUGCCUAGGAAAAUGCUACUUCCUACUCCCUGGCAAUUCCAAAUCAUAAUAGACAUCGAUAUAAGAUAAACGCAAAGAAAACACAAAAGCCUAUUAAAACAUCAAUAAUCAGGUCUUGGUGAUCGUUAUUGAUAGAGAAUUCCACAAUAUCCUUUGCAUCUUCAAUAUCUUCAAAUUCAUCCAUAUCAUCCUCUUCAUUAUUCCCUUUCCCCUAGAAGAAAGGAGGAUGCACAGGAAUAUAUGCUUUUGUGGGAGAGAAAUUUUUGGUGGGAUUAGGUUUGGGGAGAAGGGAAUACUCUAACUGUUGUGUGAUGGUUUGAAUUUAAUUUAUUACUAAUGGAGACCAUUGAUACUUCCAUCAGGUUUCUAGUUUUAAAAGCAAAGAAAUUACCAAGGGUAGGCUUUUCAGGUUUAGUUGGGGAUUUUGGUCGUUUGUUUCCAAUAGUGGGUUGGUGCAUGAGUGAAUUUCCUCUGUUCUCUUUAGUUUUACUAUUAGGAAACUGGAUCCUUCGAGAAUCAGUGCUUGAUUGAUAGUUAGA
This 942-nucleotide long non-coding RNA is filed under the name Jatropha curcas. Its description in RNAcentral is "long non-coding RNA (JCUR_LNC001519)". The record is from RNAcentral. Lineage: Eukaryota; Viridiplantae; Streptophyta; Magnoliopsida; Malpighiales; Euphorbiaceae.